Rhopalosiphum padi (bird cherry-oat aphid) is the source of this 664-nucleotide long non-coding RNA. RefSeq lists it as uncharacterized. The transcript is spliced from 2 exons. Lineage: Eukaryota; Metazoa; Arthropoda; Insecta; Hemiptera; Aphididae. The record is from RefSeq and is a predicted model, not a curated record.
ACACGAUUAAUACGUCCACAUUUUUUUGGACGUGAAAUGAAAAAAAAAAGAGGAAGUGAAUAACACACGACCAUAAUUUACAAUGAUUUUGAGCCCAGCGACAAGUUUGAGUUCACAGAUCGAUUACAAUAAUGAUAAUAUUUCGUACCUUUACUGUCUAUGACUACUGGAAGUCCGCCAUUGGCAACCGGUCCGACCGGAUCCUGCAGGACAACCGGUUCCGUAACCUGUUCCCAGCAGCGUCCUCCAGGAAAAUCCUGACGGAAAUCCCUUUCGUCGUCGCCAUCGUCGUCGAAGUAGUAGUCGUAACAAUAGUAAUAGUUGUCGUUGUCGUCCAUGUCACAACGUUUGGUCCAGCUAUCGAACUGUACUUGUAUCCGGGAGCACCAGCGGUAUUUAAGCAGUGAGUUCGGAAACGGAGCGUCGCCGCCAUCGGUCUCGCGCUGUUUGUCCGCGGCACCGACUCAAAGGGACCGAUUCACGGUCUUCGGAACCGCUCCCACGAGUAUAGGCCUCGCACGUGUCCACCGUUUAUCGUGAAAACAAUAUUACGAUAUUUAAAUAUAAGUACAGGAUGAUUUUUUUAAACUGUAAACACUAUUUAUUUCGAAAAACUUUAACGUUCUAAAAUAUAUUUUUUCACAUAAUCUGAAUCCAUUACAAA